AUUGAACGCUGGCGGCAGGCCUAACACAUGCAAGUCGAACGGAUAAACGGCGCUUGCUCCUGGCUUCAGCGGCGGAUGGGUGUGUAAUGCCUAGGAAUCUGCCUGGUAUUGGGGGAUAACGUCCGGAAAAGGGCGCUAAUACCGCAUACGUCCUGCGGGAGAAAGUGGGGGAUCUUCAGACCUCACGCUAUCAGAUGAGCCUAGGUCGGAUUAGCUAGUUUGUGGGGUAAAGGCCUACCAAGGCGACGAUCCGUAACUGGUCUGAGAGGAUGAUCAGUCACACUAGAACUGAGACACGCUCAAGACUACUACGGGGGGGAGCAGUGGGGAAUGUUGGACAACGGGCGAAAGCCUGCUCCAGAAAUGCCGCGUGUGUGAAGAAGGUCUUCGGAUUGUAAAGCACUUUCAGUUGGGAGGAAGGGCAGUAAGUUAAUACAUUGCUGUUUUGACGUUACCAACAGAAUAAGCACCGGCUAACUACGUG
This 484-nucleotide ribosomal RNA is filed under the name uncultured bacterium. RNAcentral's name for it is "partial 16S ribosomal RNA". It matches the Rfam family "Bacterial small subunit ribosomal RNA", at positions 30 to 507 of the family's 1533-position model. The record is from RNAcentral.